AAUUCAAAUACGAAAUGAGGUUAUAACCAUCAGAUUGGCCCAGAUUGAUUCAAUCUGGGCCGUUGGCUGACACUGUAAUAGCUGUGAAAUGUCACUAGACGGGUUGCUAUCCUGAAUUAUCUUUAUUAGUUUAUUAUGAUAUAUGUUUAUAAAUGAGGUUAUUUUAUGUUCAUUGCAAUGAGUUAGUUUCUCUUCCUCGCUUGUUUUUUUGCACUCUCUUCCAUCUACUUCUUACAUAUGUCAAACUCUUAUCCCCUCUUUGUCAUCUCUUUAUAUCACCAUGCAAUUUUUUGUAAGUUUGAAAUCAAAAUUUUGUUUUACUUAUAAUUUUUCGCUAUAUCCAACAUUUUAGAAUUAACAAACUAAUGGCCCUUGGCUGGUUUAAAUUUUAGUAGGUUUCUCCUUUUCUCUCUUCAAUUAGAGCACUGCCUCCUUCACUUAGCACUAACAUGCUCAUCUGCAUCUGUUAGAAUUAACAAACUGAUGAUCCUGUUGGUCUAAAUUUUAGAGUAGGGGUUUCUUAAGUUUCUGGUACUCCAAUGAAAUUAUAUUUAUGCAUGCUUUGUCAACAUCUUGUAUAUCUUUUGGUUCAACAUCAGCCCAACUUCCAUAGGUUUCUUUCCUGAUAUUUUCAGUUUUAAUAUUAGAGACACCAGUAUCCUCAUCAUCAUGCUUCUCAAUUCCAAGAUUGACAUCUCAUUUGUUUAUGUUUACAAUUAGAGCAUGUUUGUUUGGGGGAAGGAUUGUCUCCAGAAGACAAACUUUCUCCAUUACUUUAGCAUGGAAGUGCUAAAGUACAUCCUACACACGAGUUCUUCCUCCAAAAUGGUAACAAUUUUCGACGGGGUGCGCAAUCCCUACCUUUCUUCCUUGUCACUCAACUUUUUUUCCCUGCCAUAUGAGAGCUAAAACCAGGUACCCCGAUCUUUCUCCCUCGCCAGGUGAGAACUAAAACCAGGUACCCCAACCUUUCUUCCUCGCCAGGUGAGAGCUAAAACCAGGGACAGAGAUGUUUACAUUUAGGGUUGAAUGGAGUUGCAUAAAGAGGAGAUGAUCUUCUUUUGUGAGGUGAAGAGGUGGUGAAAGAGAGAGAGAAUGAUGAGAGAGGGGGUUUGGCCUCAUAAAGGGUAUUCACAUUGUGGGCUUCUUGAUUGCAUGAUCUGAUAGCAGGGACAGAGAUGUUUACAUUUAGGGUUGAAUGGAGUUGCAUAAAGAGGAGAUGAUCUUCUUUUGUGAGGUGAAGAGGUGGUGAAAGAGAGAGAGAAUGAUGCAUUUAGUGGCCCACAUAGGUUGGCCUCAGCAGCGGUAUGAAGAAGGUUGUUGCAUGGUUGCAGGAUAACUUCCCCUCUCAUUUAUCUCUAUUAUGUAGCUUUUUUCUCCCUCUUUGCCUUCUUUUUUUCUAUCCUUUUUAAGUGCUAUGAAUGCGGAAGGAUGGGAAUGUGGGUCGAUGGUUUUGAUCAUCGCUUUACUCUCAUGUUGUCAUAGCUGAUGCUGACUUUGUUGUAUUCUUCUCAUCUAUCAUGGAAGGCAAUUACUUGGCAUUGAGAACAUUGCCCUGAAUCUGUUGCUACUACGGGUUUAGAAGGCAUUUUCUUGUGUUU
Amborella trichopoda is the source of this 1601-nucleotide non-coding RNA. The record is from RefSeq and is a predicted model, not a curated record. NCBI's taxonomy places the organism in Eukaryota, Viridiplantae, Streptophyta, Magnoliopsida, Amborellales, Amborellaceae.